This 429-nucleotide ribosomal RNA is filed under the name uncultured archaeon. Its description in RNAcentral is "bacterial SSU rRNA". It matches the Rfam family "Archaeal small subunit ribosomal RNA", at positions 474 to 903 of the family's 1478-position model. The record is from RNAcentral.
UACCUGCAGCUCGAGUGGUAACCGCUAUUAUUGGGCCUAAAGCGUCCGUAGCCGGUUUGGUAAAUAUCUGGGUAAAUCGUGAGGCUUAACUUCACGAAUUUCGGAUAGACUGCCAGACUUGGGAUCGGGGGAGGUCAGAGGUACUCCAGGGGUAGCGGUGAAAUGUUGUAAUCCUUGGAGGACCACCGGUAGCGAAGGCGUCUGACUAGAACGAGUCCGACGGUGAGGGACGAAGCCCUGGGGCGCAAACCGGAUUAGAUACCCGGGUAGUCCAGGGUGUAAACAAUGCGGGCUUUGUAUUGGAGGUCCCACGUGGGCGUCCAGUGCAGAAGAGAAGUUGUUAAGCCCACCGCCUGGGAAGUACGGUCGCAAGGAUGAAACUUAAAGGAAUUGGCGGGGGAGCACAGCAACGGGAGGAGCGUGCGGUUU